CAUGCAAGUCGAACGAUGAACCUGGAGCUUGCUCUAGGGGAUUAGUGGCGAACGGGUGAGUAACACGUGAGUAACCUGCCCUUGACUCUGGGAUAACCUCCGGAAACGGAAGCUAAUACCGGAUACGACGUACGGAGGCAUCUCCUGUACGUGGAAAGAACUUCGGUCAAGGAUGGACUCGCGGCCUAUCAGGUAGUUGGUGAGGUAACGGCCCACCAAGCCUACGACGGGUAGCCGGCCUGAGAGGGUGACCGGCCACACUGGGACUGAGACACGGCCCAGACUCCUACGGGAGGCAGCAGUGGGGAAUAUUGCACAAUGGGCGCAAGCCUGAUGCAGCAACGCCGCGUGAGGGACGACGGCCUUCGGGUUGUAAACCUCUUUUAGUAGGGAAGAAGCGAAAGUGACGGUACCUGCAGAAAAAGCACCGGCUAACUACGUGCCAGCAGCCGCGGUAAUACGUAGGGUGCGAGCGUUGUCCGGAAUUAUUGGGCGUAAAGAGCUCGUAGGCGGUCUGUCGCGUCUGCUGUGAAAACCCGAGGCUCAACCUCGGGCCUGCAGUGGGUACGGGCAGACUAGAGUGCGGUAGGGGAGAAUGGAAUUCCUGGUGUAGCGGUGGAAUGCGCAGAUAUCAGGAGGAACACCGAUGGCGAAGGCAGUUCUCUGGGCCGUAACUGACGCUGAGGAGCGAAAGCGUGGGGAGCGAACAGGAUUAGAUACCCUGGUAGUCCACGCCGUAAACGUUGGGCGCUAGAUGUGGGGACCAUUCCACGGUUUCCGUGUCGCAGCUAACGCAUUAAGCGCCCCGCCUGGGGAGUACGGCCGCAAGGCUAAAA
RNAcentral lists this ribosomal RNA (836 nucleotides) under Leifsonia sp. EC27. Its description in RNAcentral is "bacterial SSU rRNA". It matches the Rfam family "Bacterial small subunit ribosomal RNA", at positions 54 to 899 of the family's 1533-position model. Lineage: Bacteria; Bacillati; Actinomycetota; Actinomycetes; Micrococcales; Microbacteriaceae. The record is from RNAcentral.